UACGAAGGGGGCUAGCGUUGCUCGGAAUCACUGGGCGUAAAGGGUGCGUAGGCGGGUCUUUAAGUCAGGGGUGAAAUCCUGGAGCUCAACUCCAGAACUGCCUUUGAUACUGGGAGGCUCGAGUCCGGGAGAGGUGAGUGGAACUGCGAGUGUAGAGGUGAAAUUCGUAGAUAUUCGCAAGAACACCAGUGGCGAAGGCGGCUCACUGGCCCGGUACUGACGCUGAGGUGCGAAAGCGCGGGGAGCAAACAGG
RNAcentral lists this ribosomal RNA (253 nucleotides) under uncultured bacterium. RNAcentral's name for it is "partial 16S ribosomal RNA". It matches the Rfam family "Bacterial small subunit ribosomal RNA", at positions 524 to 776 of the family's 1533-position model. The record is from RNAcentral.